UGAAUGAAAGCUUGCUUUCAUUCGGUUAGCGGCGGACGGGUGAGUAACACGUGGCAACCUGCCCGUAAGACCGGGAUAACUUCGGGAAACCGGAGCUAAUACCGGAUAACACCGAAGAUCGCAUGAUCUUUGGUUGAAAGGCGGCUUUGGCUGUCACUUACGGAUGGGCCCGCGGCGCAUUAGCUAGUUGGUGAGGUAACGGCUCACCAAGGCGACGAUGCGUAGCCGACCUGAGAGGGUGAUCGGCCACACUGGGACUGAGACACGGCCCAGACUCCUACGGGAGGCAGCAGUAGGGAAUCUUCCGCAAUGGACGAAAGUCUGACGGAGCAACGCCGCGUGAGCGAAGAAGGUCUUCGGAUUGUAAAGCUCUGUUGUUAGGGAAGAACAAGUACCGUUCGAAGAGGGCGGUACCGUGACGGUACCUAACGAGAAAGCCACGGCUAACUACGUGCCAGCAGCCGCGGUAAUACGUAGUGGCAAGCGUUGUCCGGAAUUAUUGGGCGUAAAGCGCGCGCAGCGGUUCCUUAAGUCUGAUGUGAAAGCCC
Molecule: ribosomal RNA, 548 nt
Filed under: uncultured Bacillaceae bacterium
Lineage: Bacteria; Bacillati; Bacillota; Bacilli; Caryophanales; Bacillaceae
Description: bacterial SSU rRNA
Rfam family: Bacterial small subunit ribosomal RNA
Source: RNAcentral